This 494-nucleotide ribosomal RNA is filed under the name uncultured bacterium. RNAcentral describes it as "partial 16S ribosomal RNA". It matches the Rfam family "Bacterial small subunit ribosomal RNA", at positions 28 to 507 of the family's 1533-position model. The record is from RNAcentral.
GACGAACGCUGGCGGCGUGCUUAACACAUGCAAGUCGAACGGUGAAGCGCCUUCCUUUUUGGUGGGUGUGGAUGAGUGGCGAACGGGUGAGUAACACGUGAGUAACCUGCCCCCUUCUUCUGGAUAACCGCAUGAAAGUGUGGCUAAUACGGGAUAUUCUGGGUCUGUCGCAUGAUGGGUCUGGGAAAGAUAUUGUUUCGGUGGGGGAUGGGCUCGCGGCCUAUCAGCUUGUUGGUGGGGUGAUGGCCUACCAAGGCGGUGACGGGUAGCCGGCCUGAGAGGGUGGACGGUCACACUGGGACUGAGACACGGCCCAGACUCCUACGGGAGGCAGCAGUGGGGAAUAUUGAACAAUGGGCGCAAGCCUGAUGCAGCGACGCCGCGUGAGGGAUGGAGGCCUGCGGGUUGUGAACCUCUUUCGCCAGUGAAGCAGGCCUGCCUCGUUUGUGGGUGGGUUGACGGUAGCUGGAUAAGAAGCGCCGGCUAACUACGUG